Molecule: transfer RNA, 76 nt
Filed under: Candidatus Peregrinibacteria bacterium
Lineage: Bacteria; Candidatus Peregrinibacteriota
Description: tRNA-Val
Rfam family: tRNA
About the family: Transfer RNA (tRNA) molecules are approximately 80 nucleotides in length. Their secondary structure includes four short double-helical elements and three loops (D, anti-codon, and T loops).
Source: RNAcentral
GGGCAUUUAGCUCAGUUGGUAGAGCGUUCGAUUCACAUUCGAAAGGUCACUGGUUCGAAUCCAGUAAUGCCCACCA